UACGUAGGGCGCAAGCGUUGUCCGGAAUUAUUGGGCGUAAAGAGCUCGUAGGCGGUUUGUCGCGUCUGCUGUGAAAGCCCGGGGCUCAACCCCGGGUCUGCAGUGGGUACGGGCAGACUAGAGUGCAGUAGGGGAGACUGGAAUUCCUGGUGUAGCGGUGAAAUGCGCAGAUAUCAGGAGGAACACCGAUGGCGAAGGCAGGUCUCUGGGCUGUUACUGACGCUGAGGAGCGAAAGCAUGGGGAGCGAACAGGAUUAGAUACCCUGGUAGUCCAUGCCGUAAACGUUGGGCACUAGGUGUGGGGGACAUUCCACGUUUUCCGCGCCGUAGCUAACGCAUUGAGUGCCCCGCCUGGGGAGUACGGCCGCAAGGCUAAA
RNAcentral lists this ribosomal RNA (377 nucleotides) under uncultured bacterium. Its description in RNAcentral is "bacterial SSU rRNA". It matches the Rfam family "Bacterial small subunit ribosomal RNA", at positions 524 to 898 of the family's 1533-position model. The record is from RNAcentral.